GUUAGUGGCGAAAGGGUUAGUAAUAGAUAGGUAACGUACCCUGUGCUUCGGAAUAGCGUCGGUUGCUUCGGCAACCUACCGAAAGGGGCGGUAAUACCGAAUAAUAUCACUUGUCGAUGGACAAGUGUUCAAAGAUUUAUCGGCGUAGGAGCGACCUAUUUCCUAUCAGCUUGUUGGUGAGGUAAUAGCUCACCAAGGCUAUGACGGGUAGCGGGACUGAGAGGUUGGCCCGCAACAUCGGGACUGAGACACUGCCCGGACCUCCACGGAGGGCUGCAGUAACGAAUAUUGCGCAAUGGGCGAAAGCCUGACGCAGCGACGCCGCGUGCGGGAGGAAGUCUUUCGGGAUGUAAACCGCUGUCAGGGGUUAGAAAGUGCGUUUCGGCGUAUUGAUCAGCCCCAAAGGAAGUCACGGCUAACUUCGUGCCAGCAGCCGCGGUAAGACGAAGGUGGCGAGCGUUGUUCGGUGUUACUGGGCUUAAAGCGUGUGUAGGCGGAAAAGUAAGCGUUUUGUGAAAUCCCUCGGCUUAACCGGGGAACUGCUUGGCGAACUGCUUUUCUUGAGGCAAGUAGGGGUGCAUGGAACUCUUGGUGGAGCGGUGGAAUGCGUAGAUAUCAAGAGGAACGCCAAUGGAGAAAUCAGUGCACUGGGCUUGUCCUGACGCUGAGACACGAAAGCGUGGGGAGCGAACGGGAUUAGAUACCCCGG
Molecule: ribosomal RNA, 709 nt
Filed under: uncultured bacterium
Lineage: Bacteria
Description: bacterial SSU rRNA
Rfam family: Bacterial small subunit ribosomal RNA
Source: RNAcentral